AUCUGGUUGAUCCUGCCAAGUAUUAUAUGCUCGUCUCAAAGAUUAAGCCAUGCAUGUGUAAGUAUAAAUAAUUUUACUUUGAAACUGCGAAUGGCUCAUUAUAUCAGUUAUAGUUUAUUAGAAAUACUUUACUACUUGGAUAACCGUAGUAAUUCUAGGGCUAAUACAUGAAUAAAUCCUCAACUUCGGAAGAGGUGUGUUUAUUAGUAUGAAAACCAUAUAUCUUCGGAUAUAAUAGUGAGUAAUAAUAACCUUUCGUAUCGUAUGUCGUAAGAUAACGAUAGUUCUUUCAAGUUUCUGCCCUAUCAGCUUUCGAUGGUAGUAUAUGGGACUACCAUGGCAGUAACGGGUAACGAAGAAUUUGGGUUCGAUUUCGGAGAGGGAGCCUGAGAGAUGGCUACCACAUCCAAGGAAGGCAGCAGGCGCGUAAAUUACCCAAUCCUGACAUAGGGAGGUAGUGACAAUAAAUCACAAUGCGGAACUAUUUAGUUUUGCAAUUGGAUUGAGAACAAUGUACAAAUGUUAUCGAUAAACAAUUGGAGGGCAAGUCUGGUGCCAGCAGCCGCGGUAAUUCCAGCUCCAAUAGCGUAUAUUAACGUUGUUGCAGUUAAAAAGCUC
RNAcentral lists this ribosomal RNA (618 nucleotides) under Blastocystis sp. RNAcentral's name for it is "SSU rRNA". It matches the Rfam family "Eukaryotic small subunit ribosomal RNA", at positions 1 to 629 of the family's 1831-position model. The record is from RNAcentral. Lineage: Eukaryota; Bigyra; Opalinata; Blastocystidae.